This 1362-nucleotide long non-coding RNA is filed under the name Fragaria vesca (wild strawberry). Its description in RNAcentral is "long non-coding RNA (FVES_LNC005098)". Lineage: Eukaryota; Viridiplantae; Streptophyta; Magnoliopsida; Rosales; Rosaceae. The record is from RNAcentral.
GUAAAGCUGCAUGCAAAUAUUGCAUAGCUCCAAGAUGCAAUAGAAAGAGUGGUGCGCAUCAAUAAUGUUCGAGCGACAAGCUAAAGUUGCUUGGUCGUAGCCUCGGUGAGACCGUAUUGCGUGUGAACAUGGGGCACAGGACACUUCAACUUACAUCCCGAUAAACUUCUUUAAAAAUGGGUAGUGAGCCCGUAGAAGUAUAAGUAGCAUAAGCAGUAGAUAAUAGUGUAACACGUGACCAGUGUGUUAACACUUCAACCAACACCAUAAAGCAUAAAAAGGUGUCCGCAAGUUGGUUGUAUCUAUCUACAUAGUUUGAUGUAAGAAUAGAAUGUUCACUUUUGUGUUAUUUAGCGUAGGAGGGUCUCACUCCUUAUUUAGCUAAAGAAUAGGCUUUCUAAACGAGCAAUGAGCAUUGCAGAGGGCCAAUGCGACAUCGAGGAAAGGCCGGUGCACCUCAAUUGCUUGAGGAAUUGACCGGACGACCUCCAGGAAGUUGGAGUCGUGUUCGGGUGACCUCAAUGUCCCCCGGGUCACCACCAUGCUUCAUGGUGAUGCUAGAUCUCGAAUGUCUUCGUUUUGAGCGGAAGAAUGGAUGUCCAUGAGAUUUUCUCAAAAUUUGGACCAUUAUAUCUCUUCCAGGUUGACCAAUUUGGUCAAACCAAAGCCUAUAUGAGUCGGUGUCCCAAAUAUCAUGUAUGGCGACAACAUGGGAUUCGAUAUUCGAAUCGUAGUGACAUACAGUUCACUAGAUUAACUCAUGAAUUUCUCCAAGAUGCGCUUCAGUCCGCAUUCAUGAGAAGGUAUACACAAAAAAAUUCUUGUUCAUUCUCACAAUGUGUUUUCAAAUGAAAACCAUUAGCAUGAAUGUCUUUAAAGCUCAACAUGGUUCCUUAGAAUGUUGUGGAUAGUUCCACUAUCUGCGAAGCACUCAAUGUCUCUAUGAGACAUAACUACAAGGAGUAGAUAGGCGAGUAAAUAGUUCUACUUGAACCAUUUAGAAGGAUUGAAAGAAGCUACGAAAAGCUGCAAUCCUGAGAGUGCAUAAAAGUUUCCGCGCAGAAUGACCUUUGCGCACUAAAACAGCCAUAACUUCUUCGUUAAAAUAGAUAUGGACGAACCGUGAAAAGUUCUGAAAACUAGACUCGUAGAGCUUUCCAAUGAUAUAAAGCUCACUGUCUGGUUCGUCCGGAGCUGUUCAAAAAGCUCAAACGAAGUUGACUGUCCAUAAGGGACAGAUUGCUGUUUUUCGCAGAUUUGGCAUGUGCGAAGCUGUGAAGCUUGCAGGUGGCGUGUAGGCUUUUGUCUUAGCCAAAAGUGACGUGUGUAUGAUCAAAACCAAGUCCUUUCGGUCGUUCUAAG